ACAAACGACUCUGGGCAACGGAUAUCUCGGCUCACGCAUCGAUGAAGAACGUAGCAAAAUGCGAUACUUGGUGUGAAUUGCAGAAUCCCGUGAACCAUCGAGUUUUUGAACGCAAGUUGCGCCCGAAGCCACUCGGCCGAGGGCACGCCUGCCUGGGCGUCACGC
RNAcentral lists this ribosomal RNA (165 nucleotides) under Chuquiraga oblongifolia. Its description in RNAcentral is "5.8S ribosomal RNA". It matches the Rfam family "5.8S ribosomal RNA". From Rfam's summary of the family: 5.8S ribosomal RNA (5.8S rRNA) is a component of the large subunit of the eukaryotic ribosome. It is transcribed by RNA polymerase I as part of the 45S precursor that also contains 18S and 28S rRNA. Functionally, it is thought that 5.8S rRNA may be involved in ribosome translocation. The record is from RNAcentral. Lineage: Eukaryota; Viridiplantae; Streptophyta; Magnoliopsida; Asterales; Asteraceae.